GGGGUGGAGGAAGGGUGGAGAUUAGUAGGGAAAAAAGUGUCACUAACUGGUGCCUCUUUAAAUGAACCCAAAUCCUCAUGGAUCCUAAUCGGGUUUUUUAAACCUCUGAGCCACGAAGGGAACUCCUGUGUUUUCUUUAUCUUGGUAAACUUCCUUGGUGAGUGAUCAAUGAUUUUAGACUAUUUUGUUGAGCACUUGGCAAAUACAUCACUAAUCUUUUUCAUAUUAACGUUAAACUAGUUUAACCGGUUAGCUUUAUAUUCCGUUUUCUUCCUUUGUCUGUGAUGGGUGCAGUAGUGAGCGGUGACGUGAUAUCAAGACGUUUCCCUCAGGUCCCUCCUAACUGUCCUCUUCAGGUGAUGAGCGAUGGGCUGGAUGGACCGGAACCUUCUGCUCAUCAUGAAGAAAUUUGCCCAGAGCUUAUUUCUUUUUUUUUCUUUCCUUUCUUUCUUUUUCCUAUUUCUUGGGCUGCUGCCAAGGCAUAUGGAGGUUCCCAGGAUAGGGGUCUAAUCGGAGCUGUAGCCACCGGCCUACGCCAGAGCCACAGCAACUCGGGGAUCCGAGCCACAUCUGCAACCUACACCACGGCUCACGGCAACGCUGGAUCCUUAACCCACUGAGCCAGGGCAGGGGUCAAACCCACAACCUCAUGGUUCCUAGUCGGAUUCGUUAACCACUGCGCCACGACGGGAACUCCUCUUUUCUUUCUUUUUUUUUUUUUGCAUUUUAGGGCUGCGAGGCAGCAUAUGGAAGGUCCCAGGCUAGGGGUCAAAUGAGAGCUGCAGCUCUUGCCCUACACCACAGCCACAGCAGGGAGGGAUCCAAGCUGUGUCUGCACUUACACCAGUUAGAGCUUAUUUCUAAGCUGACUCCUUACAGUGUUUCCUGCACCCGUGGAUAUAAUGUUGCAAUUCUGUAUUUUGAUUUUUUAAAAUUUUAUUUAUUUAUUUAUUUAUUUUUGUCUUUUUUUGCACCACACCUUUGGCAUAUGGAAGUUCCCAGGAUAGGGGUCAAGUUGGAACUGCAGCCCCCGGCCUACACCAUAGCCACAGCAAGGGAUCUGAGCCACAUCUGUGGCCUCAUAACAGCUCACGGCAAUGCCAGAUCCUUAACCUACUGAGCAAGGCCAGGAAUGGAACCUGCAUCCUCAUGACUACUGUCGGGUUCCUUAAGGCUAAACCACGAUGGGAACGCCAGACAGAUCCCAUUAGAGAAUUCAGGCACACCUGAUUUCUGUUCCCUCUUCGCAAACUGCCUCAUGAAUGUCUCCCAUGUGGGCCACAGGGAGCCCCCUUGUAACAUGGAGAUGAGAGGACAGAGCAGCAACGCCUUCUGAGCAGCACUGACCCCUGAAAGGAUUGGCCUAAUUGGGUGUGUGUUUGUUUGGGGCACUUCUCUUUGGAGUUAGAGUUUUAAAGGGGUCCUCGUCCUCCCAGCAGGAAGGAGAAGAGCAGAAAGGCUGCCGUGGAGGCAGGACUAUAGGCUCGGAGUAAGAGAGACCAGAACGAGUGUCUCCUGCAAACCCGAAGGGAGUCGACGUGUUUCCUGAUGCCCAGACCUCCGCAGGCUCUUCUUGGGCCUCAGGACAGACCCCGACUCCUCCCUGUGGUGGCACAGCCCUGUGUCGCCCUCAGGGCCCUGCCUGUGUCUGCAGCCCCGUCCUGGGAGCAGACCCAGUGCUGCGGGUUCACUGCCCGGGGCACAGUCUCCUUGUCUGUCUCAGCUCUUCGUUCCUCUUCUUCCCCUUUGCCUUUCAGGCACCAGGGCUCAGGCCCUUUGUCGCCCUUCAGAUCUCGGCUCAGAGAGGUCCCCUGUCCUCCUGACAGUCUCUGCUGCCACCUUCAGUGUGUUUGAUGGCCAGUAUAUCAACCCCUGUCAUCAGAAAUUCCUGUCUCUGUGGAUUAUUGACUCUUUUCCGUCUGUUCUGUUGUCCCUCCAUUGAAGGGAGCCCAGUGUCCCUGCUCCUCCCAGGGGGGCUGCAGCAUCUCCCUCUGGGGAUGCAUUUAUCUUUAUUUAUUUACUUUUUUUGAAUAAUUUCACGGUUGAGGGGAAUUUUGUUGUUGUUGUUGUUUUUGUCUUUUUGCCUUUUCUAGGGCCGCCUCCCGAGCAUAUGGAGGUUCCCAGGCUAGGGGUCUAAUUGGAGCUGUAGCCAUCGGCCUACACCACAGCCACAGCAACGUGGGAUCCCAGCUGUGUCUGCAACCUACACCACAGCUCACGGCAACGCCAGAUCCUUAGCCCACUGAGCAAGGCAGGGAACGAACCCGCAUCCUCAUGGUUCCUAGUCGGAUUCGUUAACCACUGAGCCACGACGGGAACUCCGAGGGGAAGGUAUUUUUAUCUUUUAGGUUUUUAUGGCUGAACUUGUGCUAUAUGGAGGUGCCCAGGCUAGGGAUGGAAUCUGAGCUACAGCUGCCAGCCUACAUCUCAGCCACUGUGACACCAGAUCCGAGCCUCAUCUGCGACAUACACCAUAGCUCUCACCAACGCCAGAUCUCCAACCCACCACGCAAGGCCGGGGAACGAACCCGUGUCCUCAUGGAUACCAGUCCGGAUCAUUACCACUGAGCUGCAAUGGAAGCUCCUGGGGAUGUGCUUAAAUUCUGGGGCUGUGGUGGGGCUGAGUCAUCCUCCUAGAAGAGCAAGGAAGGAGGACAAGCAAGGAGGAUCAUUCCCAUGUUUGAUCUAAUUGGAUUUUUUGUCUUUUUAGGGCCUCACCUGCAGUAUAUGGUGGUUCUCGGGCUAGGGGUCCAAUCGAAGCCGUAGCUGCCAGCCUACGCCAGAGCCACAGCACCUCCAGAUCCGAGCCGCGUCUGUGACCUCCGCCAUAGCUCAUGGCAACGCCUGAUCCUUAACCUACUGAGCGAGGCCAGGGAUCGAUCCUGUGUCCUCGUG
This 2895-nucleotide long non-coding RNA is filed under the name Sus scrofa (pig). RNAcentral describes it as "lncRNA (ENSSSCG00060044608.1)". The record is from RNAcentral. Lineage: Eukaryota; Metazoa; Chordata; Mammalia; Artiodactyla; Suidae.